Molecule: ribosomal RNA, 459 nt
Filed under: uncultured bacterium
Lineage: Bacteria
Description: partial 16S ribosomal RNA
Rfam family: Bacterial small subunit ribosomal RNA
Source: RNAcentral
CCUACGGGUGACAGCAGUGAGGAAUAUUGGUCAAUGGCCGCAGGGCUGAACCAGCCAAGUCGCGUGAGGGAUGACGGUCCUAUGGAUUGUAAACCUCUUUUGUCAGGGAGCAAAGUGCGCCACGUGUGCCGCUUUGCGAGUACCUGACGAACAAGCAUCGGCAAACCCCGUGCCAGCAGCCGCGGUAAUACGGAGGCUGCGUGCGUUAUCCGGAUUUAUUGGGUUAAAGGGGUGCGCGGGCGGAAUGUCAAGUCAGCGGUAAAAUUUCGGGGCUCAACCCCGGCGUGCCGUUGAAACUGGCGUUCUUGAGUGAGCGAGAGGUAGGCGGAAUGCGUGGUGUAGCGGUGAAAUGCAUAGAUAUCACGCAGAACUCCGAUGGCGAAGGCAGCAUACCGGAGCUCAACUGACGCUCAUGCACGAAGGCGUGGGUAUCGAACAGGAUUAGAUACCCGAGUAGUC